CCGCCGGCGAGUGGCAAACGGGUGAGUAAUACAUCGGAACGUGCCCAGUAGUGGGGGAUAGCCCGGCGAAAGCCGGAUUAAUACCGCAUACGAUCUAUGGAUGAAAGCGGGGGACCUUCGGGCCUCGCGCGAUUGGAGCGGCCGAUGGCUGAUUAGCUAGUUGGUGGGGUAAAGGCCUACCAAGGCUACGAUCAGUCGCUGGUCUGAGAGGACGACCAGCCACACUGGGACUGAGACACGGCCCAGACUCC
RNAcentral lists this ribosomal RNA (251 nucleotides) under uncultured bacterium. RNAcentral's name for it is "partial 16S ribosomal RNA". It matches the Rfam family "Bacterial small subunit ribosomal RNA", at positions 85 to 339 of the family's 1533-position model. The record is from RNAcentral.